This is a long non-coding RNA of Oncorhynchus keta (chum salmon), 1257 nucleotides long. RefSeq lists it as uncharacterized. The transcript is spliced from 3 exons. Lineage: Eukaryota; Metazoa; Chordata; Actinopteri; Salmoniformes; Salmonidae. The record is from RefSeq and is a predicted model, not a curated record.
CUGGGUUGUAAUAGUAGAAUGUACAAGGUGACAUUACUAAACUGGGUUGUAACAGUAGAAUACACAAGGUGACAUUACUAAACUGGGUUGUAAUAGUAGAAUACACAAGGUGACAUUACUAAACUGGGUUGUAACAGUAGAAUACACAAGGUGACAUUACUAAACUGGGUUGUAAUAGUAGAAUACACAAGGUGACAUUACUAAACUGGGUUGUAAUAGUAGAAUGUACAAGGUGACAUUACUAAACUGGGUUGUAAUAGUAGAAUGUACAAGGUGACAUUACUAAACUGGGUUGUAAUAGUAGAAUACACAAGGUGACAUUACUAAACUGGGUUGUAAUAGUAGAAUACACAAGGUGACAUUACUAAACUGGGUUGUAAUAGUAGAAUACACAAGGUGACAUUACUAAACUGGGUUGUAAUAGUAGAAUACACAAGGUGACAUUACUAAACUGGGUUGUAAUAGUAGAAUACACAAGGUGACAUUACUAAACUGGGUUGUAAUAGUAGAAUACACAAGGUGACAUUACUAAACUGGGUUGUAAUAGUAGAAUACACAAGGUGACAUUACUAAACUGGGUUGUAAUAGUAGAAUACACAAGGUGACAUUACUAAACUGGGUUGUAAUAGUAGAAUACACAAGGUGACAUUACUAAACUGGGUUGUAAUAGUAGAAUACACAAGGUGACAUUACUAAACUGGGUUGUAAUAGUAGAAUACACAAGGUGACAUUACUAAACUGGGUUGUAAUAGUAGAAUACACAAGGUGACAUUACUAAACUGGGUUGUAAUAGUAGAAUGUACAAGGUGACAUUACUAAACUGGGUUGUAACAGUAGAAUACACAAGGUGACAUUACUAAACUGGGUUGUAAUAGUAGAAUGUACAAGGUGACAUUACUAAACUGGGUUGUAAUAGUAGAAUACACAAGGUGACAUUACUAAACUGGGUUGUAAUAGUAGAAUGUACAAGGUGACAUUACUAAACUGGGUUGUAAUAGUAGAAUGUACAAGGUGACAUUACUAAACUGGGUUGUAAUAGUAGAAUACACAAGGUGACAUUACUAAACUGGGUUGUAACAGUAGAAUACACAAGGUGACAUUACUAAACUGGGUUGUAAUAGUAGAAUGUACAAGGUGACAUUACUAAACUGGGUUGUAAUAGUAGAAUGUACAAGGUGACAUUACUAAACUGGGUUGUAAUAGUAGAAUACACAAGGUGACAUUACUAAACUGGGUUGUAAUAGUAGAAUACACAAG